This is a long non-coding RNA of Solanum lycopersicum (tomato), 1274 nucleotides long. RefSeq lists it as uncharacterized. The record is from RefSeq and is a predicted model, not a curated record. Lineage: Eukaryota; Viridiplantae; Streptophyta; Magnoliopsida; Solanales; Solanaceae.
UCAAAUUACAUUUUUUGAGAGAAAAACAUCAAUUUAAAAAAAUAUUUUCAAUUUCAAAAUUUUUAUUUUUUUCACAUGAUCCUUGAUCUUCCCCCACCGGCCAGCCACCCCCUCCCCAAAAAAUUAAUUUUGCUUUUUAAAAAUAUUUUCAAUUUCAAAUCCAAAAUCUACUUGUUUUCCAGAAAAAUAUUUUCUAGGAAAACAUUUUCCUCCAUACCAAACACAAACACACCCCUAGAGUUAUUCAAGUAGCUAUGUCGAUCGAUUUGGUGUACCCUUCUUGUUUUAAAAAAAUGGAAGCAGUGCAACAACAAAACAAGGUUAAUUUAUUUGGGAAUUGUUUUUCCUUCUUUCUGUGUCUCACUUCUUCUGAGCCUGCAUUAGAUUGUUUGUCCCAAUAAAUAUGUGGACUAUAAUUAGGUGGUUGAACAUUCUGUGUUUCAGGCUAUGCACUUGGUUUGGAUCCACGCUACCGCAAAGGUCUGGAAUAAUAAACUGAGGUCAUUAGGCUUCUUGUGUUGUGAGCUUGGUGUUUUCAUGAUGUAUAUGUGUGUGGUUUUGAGAAGAGGAGCGUGUUUUUGUUGGUCUGUUACAUUGUUGGAUCUCUCUUGGCUUCCCUCCAUUGGCACUUCUUAAAGGCUCAAUGCUUGUGUAUCACUUGAGAAACAAAGGGAACUGCUUCAGUUUACACUAAUCUUUUUUCUAAAAGAAUGCUGCAAGCUGGUUCUAUUAAUAACUAAUUUGGUAACCGAACCCACUGUUUUCUGUAUUUCACUGAGCAAUUAAUUAUGUUACUUAUCAGAGAUCUGUUUCUAAAUUUCAGCAAGGGUCUCACUUCACCUUGUGUGUUGGUACUUUGAAACGUUCUUGUUCAAGUAAUACAAUUCUUGUUACAGUUAGUUGAUUCAAUGUUCCGAUUUGCUGAAUUUCUGUAUGGACUCUCAAAGGAGUCGGUCCUGUUAAGGUUGGUCAAAAGAUUGAUGCUGGCAUAACAGGUCUCCUGGAUGUGCACUUCGAUGUUGGAAGAUGCCCAGGAGAGAAACAGCAGUGAUUCACUAUAAGUUAUCUUUUUUUGCUUGUUGGAUACUUCAAUCACUUGUUUGUGGAUAUUCUAAAUUUUUUCUCCCAUGAAUACCCAGAUAUGUUGUACAAUAUCUUUUCAAAUAAAAUUACAAGUUGAAAUAGAUGCUUGAUUUUUCUUCAGUGAUAUGCUUAUCUGUACCCUUUUAGGGUGAAAUAUUCCUUGUGUGAAUGCGAUCAGAUCCUUUUAUUUA